GCCUGACGCGAAAAGCAUGAGAAUCGGGCGGAUUCAACUUCCAGUGUUUCAACGUGCUGGAUUUCUUGACUUUCGGCGCCUUUGGUCGUAUGAGCGCCGC
RNAcentral lists this small RNA (100 nucleotides) under Sinorhizobium meliloti 2011. RNAcentral describes it as "putative ncRNA". The record is from RNAcentral. Lineage: Bacteria; Pseudomonadati; Pseudomonadota; Alphaproteobacteria; Hyphomicrobiales; Rhizobiaceae.